UGUACAUGUGGAGGCCAAUGAAAUGUCCUUGGACAAAAAGUGGACACUUUACGAACCCUACCACAGAUUCAUUCUUUAAAAAGAUAGCCUUUAAGAACACCUUUGAUAAAAGAAGAACGUAUUGAAAUCGUUCUCAUGGCUGGAUCUGGAAGCUAUCGCAAUGAUGAGAUGGACUUUAGCAGGAAACAUGGCCGGAAGCUCAGACGCGACACUGUUACCAAACUUAAUAACAAAUUCAAAAUGACUGGAAAUGUCGCGGACCAACCGAGAAGUGGACGUCCACGAACAUCCACUGACGUAGACACGACCGACGUGGUGCUGGCAAACAUAAAUCCCCUACGUAUGGAGACUUUUGGGACACCCUAUACAUUAACUCUACUUUAGAUCAUCACAGGGGAAGCAGCAGCACGAUACAUAAAAUCAUGCAAAUGAAGGUCAAGAGCUUUAUGUUUAUCAGAAUGCAAAAACAAAAACAUGAUCUCAGUGAUUUUUGACUGCCAGGGCUGCUUUGGAAUAUUUCAGAAACUUGCUAAACUCCUGGAAUUUCCACACACAACAGUCUCAUUCAACAGAGUGGAGUGAAAAACAAAAAACAUCCAGUGAGUGGCAGUGCUGCAGGCAGAAAUGCCGUGUUGAUGAGAAACAGGAAUCACGGGAGAAUGGCCAGACUGUUUUGAGCUAACAGGAGGGUUACGGUAACUCAAGGAACCACUCUUAACACCCAUGGUGAGCAGAAUGCACAGAAGACCUUAGACAGGUUCCAUGCCUGUCAACCAAACACAAAAAUCUGACACUACAGCGGACACAGGGCUCACUGAAAAAAAAGACCAGGCCACAAAAUGUCUGACAAUCUCAAAGGAAGUUGAUCCAUUCAACUAUAUACAGUAACAAGACAUUAAUACUUAAAUAUUACCAUUAUUAACGGUUAUUCAUAUAUGACCCAGAGGUUGUUAAUGUACACGCUUCAUUAUUUCCUCAUGCACUAAUGAUCAGUGCAUGUAUUAUGCAGGUAUUAAUCAUUAUGAAAGCAUUAGUACAUAUAAUAAUAAAUGCGUUCCCACUUGUUUUUAAUUUGUGGACCUUACAGUAAAGUCUUACCAAGUGUUAUCAUCUGAACGAGAUCAGGUUCCUCACUCACGCAGAUGUUUUUCGGAAGUGAUAUUUGGGCAUGUGUCUGGGAGAAAGAAACGACAAGUGUGUGUAUGUCGGGUUUGAUGCAAGAGGAUUAUCCCAUCAAGACCGGAGAUAACUGAAAUUAAAGGGUUAAGAAUGAAAUCAAAGUGGUAACUAGCGAUAACUUUAUUCGCUGUAUGAUGUCAGAGGUUGUCGUCUUGAUCUGGGAUAAUACGAAUAUUUAUUUGUAUUUUGUCGCAUUAAUUAACUGUUACAUUACGUGUCUGGCUAGAUGAGUUAGAUGACUGGUUUAAAUAAAGGUUUUCUGUCCUGUUUGCACCACUGAUCGAUUGAUCGUUCGCACCAUUCCCUUAUUUAUUUUUUAUUAUUUUAUUUUUGUACUCAACUGGACAAUGAUCCCCCCCCCCCCCCCCCCCCACCCCAUCCCAUCCAUGUCCCUUUAGGUCAAGAAGGACUUCUCGAGUUUCUUUCCAUUUCUGCCUGAACUUCGAGCCAAUGACGGACUGAGGACUGUGGAAUGUCAAACGCCACAGAGGGCAAGAUGGGAAAACCUGUCUUAAUGUUGUGUGACUGAUGCAACCUCCCUGAUCUCGCUCACAUUUUAAUGGAGCUUGUAACGGGUCUAAAUAUAUACACUUCAGUAGCGCACUUACACGCACUUUCCCCAGUCAGACGUGCUCUCCGGGGAAUGUGUGUGUGUGUGUGAGUGUGUGUGUGUGUGUUUGUGUAAUGGCACCUCUCAGGGUGGAAAUAUCGUUCACUUUAAUCAUAGAACGUCUGAGCUAAAUCGUCAGUUGAAGCUGAGAGAGGGAUUGGGAUGCUGGUGGAAGGGGCGAGGGGGGAGGGGGGGGUGUAAACUAAGGAUAAAAAAUAAAUAAAUAAAUAAAAUAAAGUAGUGGAGUAAUGAAGAGAACUAAAGUUUCAUCCUGAGUGAAAACCUCUAGCGGCAACCCAAACACUUACCUCUGGCACGGAGAAGAAUUCAUCCAGCUUAAAAAUGAUUCCCUGCCCACACGAGGCAUUACACCGCUGUCAGAGUCAGUCAGAGAAAGAGGAGAGAAGGAUUACAGUGCAGAGGAGCACUGAGGGGAAAGGAAGCACAACGAGUUGUUGCUUAGACAAGAGUUGGAACCAGGCACGAUAAAGCGAUCUGGAAAUGGCCGCGUCUGGUGCCAGCGCAUUAAGGAACUGUCAGAGUGCUUUAGAAUAUUGAGACGUGCGGCUACUGUGGAUAAUAUAUACACGAGGACAUUAUACGCUCGCGAACGCAUGCACAUAUGUCUCUCUCACACAGUCAAGUACACACACUAACUCUCCUUUACUUUAUGUGUCACAUGUGCCACACCCAUGUUUGUGCAAACUCAAUCAAAUGAUUUUUGAGUAGCAAUAAAUCAGCCUGUGUUUUGCUUGGCUGGGAAUCAGGUUUGCUCUCCUCACUCUCUGUUCCCUACUCUUCACACAUGUUUACACACACACACACACACACAAACACACACGCAGCUCCUGGAUCUGCUUUCCCUCAGUGCAUUAUUAGUAUUAUUUGAGUUUAUUUAUCAAUCAUCACCUGAUUAUAACUGGCAAAAAGCACAAUUACACACUCGCCACCAGACAGAAAGAGAUGGGAAAAAAAACAAAAAGCAAACUGAUCUGGAAACAGCAGGACUCACAGCACAGUUUUGGCUAACAGCAGCAUUGUUACACCCUAGCCUUGAGCUGGA
Molecule: long non-coding RNA, 2852 nt
Organism: Ictalurus furcatus (blue catfish)
Lineage: Eukaryota; Metazoa; Chordata; Actinopteri; Siluriformes; Ictaluridae
Exons: 3
Source: RefSeq, a predicted model, not a curated record